RNAcentral lists this small nucleolar RNA (190 nucleotides) under Scophthalmus maximus (turbot). RNAcentral describes it as "Small nucleolar RNA U3 (ENSSMAG00000032758.1)". It matches the Rfam family "Small nucleolar RNA U3". From Rfam's summary of the family: Small nucleolar RNAs (snoRNAs) are involved in the processing and modification of rRNA in the nucleolus. There are two main classes of snoRNAs: the box C/D class, and the box H/ACA class. Lineage: Eukaryota; Metazoa; Chordata; Actinopteri; Pleuronectiformes; Scophthalmidae. The record is from RNAcentral.
UUGGACUCAACCCAAGACUACCAAGAGAAAUGUGUUUCUAAAGAGUUUGGUUUCGCUGCCCACGAUGAAGAGUGAAGAUAUUUCCUUCAGAGCAGGAAUCUGGUGGAAAGACUCUGUUUCUUCUCCACUGUUGAUGAUUGUUCAGUGUUUCUGACUGAGACACUGAUGGAGGAAACAUGUUCUGAGUGGU